Molecule: unclassified non-coding RNA, 253 nt
Filed under: uncultured Sporolactobacillaceae bacterium
Lineage: Bacteria; Bacillati; Bacillota; Bacilli; Caryophanales; Sporolactobacillaceae
Description: contains 16S-23S intergenic spacer region
Rfam family: Bacterial small subunit ribosomal RNA
Source: RNAcentral
UACGUAGGGGGCAAGCGUUGUCCGGAAUGGUUGGGCGUAAAGCGCGCGCAGGCGGUCUCUUAAGUCUGAUGUGAAAGCCCACGGCUCAACCGUGGAGGGUCAUUGGAAACUGGGAGACUUGAGUGUAUGAGAGGAAAGUGGAAUUCCAUGUGUAGCGGUGAAAUGCGUAGAGAUGUGGAGGAACACCGGUGGCGAAGGCGACUUUCUGGCCUAUAACUGACGCUGAGGCGCGAAAGCGUGGGGAGCAAACAGG